This 363-nucleotide ribosomal RNA is filed under the name uncultured Streptococcus sp. Its description in RNAcentral is "bacterial SSU rRNA". It matches the Rfam family "Bacterial small subunit ribosomal RNA", at positions 1018 to 1382 of the family's 1533-position model. Lineage: Bacteria; Bacillati; Bacillota; Bacilli; Lactobacillales; Streptococcaceae. The record is from RNAcentral.
UUCGGUACAUCGGUGGACAGGUGGUGCAUGGUUGUCGUCAGCUCGUGUCGUGAGAUGUUGGUUAAGUCCCGCAACGAGCGCAACCCCUAUUGUUAGUUGCCAUCAUUCAGUUGGGCACUCUAGCGAGACUGCCGGUAAUAAACCGGAGGAAGGUGGGGAUGACGUCAAAUCAUCAUGCCCCUUAUGACCUGGGCUACACACGUGCUACAAUGGUUGGUACAACGAGUUGCGAGUCGGUGACGGCGAGCUAAUCUCUUAAAGCCAAUCUCAGUUCGGAUUGUAGGCUGCAACUCGCCUACAUGAAGUCGGAAUCGCUAGUAAUCGCGGAUCAGCACGCCGCGGUCGAAUACGUUCCCGGGCCUU